Molecule: unclassified non-coding RNA, 391 nt
Filed under: soil metagenome
Description: partial contains 5.8S ribosomal RNA, internal transcribed spacer 2, and large subunit ribosomal RNA
Rfam family: 5.8S ribosomal RNA (bases 1-122)
Source: RNAcentral
GAUGAAGAACGUAGCGAAAUGCGAUACUUGGUGUGAAUUGCAGAAUCCCGUGAACCAUCGAGUCUUUGAACGCAAGUUGCGCCCGAAGCCACUAGGCCGAGGGCACGCCUGCCUGGGCGUCACACGCCGUUGCCCCCCCAUCUACUCCUUCGGGAUUGCGGGGGGGCGGAUGAUGGCCUCCCGUGCGCCUAGCCGCGCGGUUGGCAUAAAUACCAAGUCCUCGGCGACGCACGCCACGACAAUCGGUGGUUGCGAAACCUCGGUUGCCCGUCGUGUGCGUUCGUCGCGCAUCGAGGGCUCGAAAAAAUGCUCGGCUUCGGCUCGGCUUUCAACGCGACCCCAGGUCAGGCGGGGUUACCCGCUGAAUUUAAGCAUAUCAAUAAGCGGAGGA